Capsicum annuum is the source of this 5588-nucleotide long non-coding RNA. RefSeq lists it as uncharacterized. The transcript has 8 exons. The record is from RefSeq and is a predicted model, not a curated record. Lineage: Eukaryota; Viridiplantae; Streptophyta; Magnoliopsida; Solanales; Solanaceae.
AUGAAUUGCACCUAUUUUGGGGGUAAUAUUUAAUUUUUUUUAUCCUCAUAUAUGUGUUUAUAAUUUUUGCUCAUGCCUCAUUCUGACUAGUUCGUGUGAGUCAUCAAAUAUAUAUAAUUGCUUGUGAUUGGCUAAGACAUGUCAUUUUAAAUACUUUGCAACUUUUGAUUGGUCAUUAUUUUUCCUAGGAUAACACCUCAUUUAAAGACUGAUUUUCAAAAUCUAAUUUAUAAUAUAUGGUCAAAUGCGAUCUUCUAUAUAAACUCAUUUAUAAAACUCUAUAAUUCACAAAACAUUUACCCCUGUCUUCACUUCGCUUCGAUCUCUUCGACUGUACCUAAAGGAGACUUCGAUCAUUGAACUUUCAACAAAGUUUUUUUUGACGUAUGGAUUCGCAAAAUCACCCUCAACUUCAACCCCAUCAUCACCAACAACAACCCCCAACAGAGUCCCACGAACUUGAGCAACCGUUAAGUGAUAUGGUGUGCGUGAUAGUCACUUUCACCCAACACCAACAACCGAAUCUCCAGAAAAAUCCUCUCAGUUCUAUUUCUACUCCUACUCCAGUGGUGAAUCAAGUAGAUUCUUCUAUUAUUGCCCUUGCUCCUUCAGAAAACCUAGUUAAGAAACCCCGUGGAAGGCCCCCGAGCUCCGGAAUGAAGAAGCAACCAGAAACUUCAGGUACAAUUGGAAUUUGCUCUGUUAAUCAUAAAAUCAUUGUUGACAUUGGAGAGAUCCUCCACAAGACAGAUGUUUAUUGAUAACUCCAAAAGUAUCCACGAAACAGAUGUUUACUGACAACUCAAAAAGUAUCCACAAGAUAAAUGUUCACUGACAACUCAAAAAGUAUUGAAAUGAACUUUUGGUAUUUUUCCUCUUCGCCUUUCCUUUUCAACCUUAAAGUAAGAGGAUGAGAAAGUUGUGGAAUGAGCUUCAAUACUAGUGUGACCUCCGUAAACCUCUCUUGUUAGGAUGUAGCCUACUUUUUAGCAAUUAGAGGCUUUUGAGAUGCAUCCUCAUUCUUACUAAAUUCUCUGCUUUGUUCUCAUCCACAUUAUCAAUGAUCAUGGGCUCGUCCCUCUUUUCAUCAACCACAGACAUAUGUGGAUCAGUUGUAGUCUUACCACUCUGAGUAGUGAUGGCUAGGCAAUGGCUUUUAAUCUUAGAAUUUUGGAUGGUGUUGCUAGGAAGUGUGCCCAGUCGAUACUAGUUUAGUUCGGGGGAUAUCUUCCCAAAUUAUUGCUCAAGUUGUUUAAUGACAGUUGCAUGAGAUUCAACUUUUUGGCUUAUCCCUGAAAUGUUUGCUCUAAUCUCUUUAAGGUUAUUUCUUUGCUCUCCGACCCCUUAACAAGUUUCGCAAGCAAAGCUUUCAUACUUGAAUUUUCAAACUCAGUAUCAUGAUUCCCCAGUGGAAUAUAAAGGUCACUCUUGUCUUUAUAGUCAUCUUUCCAUUUGCAAUCACAAUCUUUAUCCUUACUCAUGUCUUUAUACCCAGCCUAAUGUAGUUGUCUAUAUAGAAGUUCCAACCUUGAUUGCCUGGUGUUUUAAUUGUCUUGAUUAGACCCAUUUUAAUUGGCUCAGAAACCCUCCACCCUUCCUCUUGCACCCAUUGUUACAUUUACUUGUGGUUCUUUCCAUUCAUCAUUAUUCUUUUUCGUUUUAUUUGCUUAGGCUAAUUCAUAGUCCUUCCAUCUAAACUUAUCUUUUUUGUUGCACAUUUUUUUUGGCCUCAUGUUUUAGGAAACCUAUACUAUUUUUCAUCUCAAACAUUUUAAUUGAUUACUUGUCCUUCUUAUGUGAUUGAGUUGCUUGGUUAAACGUAAAGUGGGAUAUGGAAUUAGCUUUUGACAAUGAAUAUUUGUAAAUAAAAACCCAUUCACCUAAUUUUUGUACUUAAUAAAGGUUCUAGCAUAUAAAGAUUUAGUUGAUAUUUAUUGUCUUCAAUUACUGCAUUACAAAGACAUUUUUUAUCUGUCUUCAUUGUAUUUUCUUAAUAUACUUGUUAUUAUUUGUAAGUCUUCUCAUUUUCCAUAGGUAGAACUGUGUUUUCUGCAAAAUUUCCAUCAUAAUUUCUUUCUUCUUUCUUCAACAACUGUCACAAGUUCUUUUGUUUGCCUCCAGUUGUCGUAACUAUGUGCUACUAAGCCUCGUCUAUCUCCCCAUCUCUCUAUGUUCUCUAUGCUUUGAUAGUUUAAACAUUUUCAAAAAUCCUUCUUGUUCCCUUAUUCUAUUGCAUAACACCAUUCUUAGGAUAGUGGUGCUUGAUAUGUCCUAGGCAUGGUCUAUGACAAGGAAAGUAGAGUUAGGCCAUGCCUAUGGAUAAUGAUAUCUGAUGUUUAAUCAAUCUUUUAUAAGAAAUUUGUAGAAAUAGGUUUUGGUUGUUUGGUUCGAUAAAAGGUUGGUGUUUCUUUUUCCUUACAAAAUGCAAAUUUCGAGUUUGUCAGAAUGGCAUCAUGGGAUGUAGUUAUUUUUAAGGUAGGUAGGGGUGAUUUAAACUUACUUGGGGACAAAGGUGAAUGACUUCUGUCGAUUGGUGAGGAAAAAAAAGAAGCAAAUCAGGAGAGAAAUCUUGUAAGGCUCAUAGCCCCAUUUCUUAAAAUUGAAAAGUUUAUGUAACUAAUACCUAAUAUUUAAUAAACAAAAUCUCUACCAGUGGUUAAAUUGCGGAAAACCCCGUGAAUUUUUUAGUUGACUUUGCUAAAUAAUGUGAACCUUUUACCUUGACCACAGGACAUUGUAUCUAAGAUAAUGACUAUCUUAGAUCAAGGACCACCUGCUAUUUGUAUUCUAUCUGGAGCUGGAUCCUUAUAUAAAGCCACCCUCUGGAACUCUACCAUUGGCACUAUGACACAUGAGAUGUGUAACACUUUCUCUUUCUGUUGCCUUUGUGUUGAGGCAUGUGUGUCGGCUAUUGCUUAGUUAGUCUGUGACACUAUGUCUAUGUAGUAGUCUUUUUACCCGAGGUUGCUAGUCGUGUAAUCUGGAUAAUUGUUUUUUUUUUGGCAUUUAUUUAGAUGUAUACACGGGUAACAAGCUUUUGACAUUAGAGAAAAAAAUUUGGUAGAGUAUAUCCUUUUACAUGUACUCUUUUUAGCCCAUUUGUCUCUAUACCCCUUAAGGAAUCAUCCAGUUUUCUUUAACUACUAUUUUUCAAACACUUCAAAGUAUAAUUAUAAAGAGUAAAUUAUCACUUUUUAUUAAAGUUCCAUACAUGAACUAUCAGGUGUUUGCAUUCUACCUAAGCUAUCACCGAUAGUUUAUUCCAUGAGGACAUCUUUCCAUGAGGACAUGUUUUAUCACUCUUUAUCGAUAGUCUUUUAGUGUGUCAUGACUUAGCCUAGUAGAUGUUUAUAAAUUUCAAUCUCAAUGUUAGUAUUUAAAUUACAUAAUAAUUAAUUAAAUUACCUUUUUAAUCAAAUCAAACAAUUCAGUCAAAUUAUUUUACAGUCUUGUAGUCCUUUUUUUUUUGUUAGAGGUGUUCUGGUCAUAAGUAGGUGCUUGAAGUUGGACGAAACACAAUUGAACCUUUGAUAAUGAACCGACUUAGUUGAGGCUUCUUUGUCAAAAUUUUGGUAUCUCUGGAAACCAAUUGCUUUGGAUAGUUGAGGGGUUUCUUUAUGUGCAGCGUCAAUUUGACAUCAUCUCGUUAUCGGGAUCAUUCAUGCGGUCAGAAAAUGGUGUAACAGGUGGUCUUAACCUGUCAAUAACUAAGCCAGAUGGUAGUCUUUUCGACGGUGUCGUUGAAGGAAAGCUCAGGGCUGCCACUCCGGUAUAGAUCAUUACCGGGUGGUUGUGAGAAGCUUUUUUCUGGACAUGGAAAAUCCUGAGUCUAAGCCACCAUCUUCAACUCCAUCUACUAAUGAUUUGAAUUUUGAUCCCCCGGUCACUAAGGUGGCUUGUCCUUCUACUCCAUCUUCAACUCAUCUGAUGGAUUCUUUAGAUUCUAGUGCACCUGCUUCAGAAACCCCGGCUAAGAAGGGUCGUGGGAGGCCCCCGGGAUCCGAAAAGCAAAAGCAACCAGAAACUUCAGGACAUUGUAUCUAAGAUAAUGACUAUCUUAGAUCAAGGAACACCUGCAGUUUGUAUUCUAUGUGGAACUGGAUCCUUAUGUGAAGUCACCCUAUGGGACUCUGCAAUUGGCACUGUGGCAUAUAAGAGUCAAUUUGACAUUACCUCGUUAUCGGGGUCAUUAUGCGGUAAGAAAAUGGUGUAAAAGGUGGUCUUAACCGAUCAAUGACUAGGACAUAUGGUAGGCUUUUUGGUGGUGUCAUUGAAGGAAAGAUCAGGGCUGUCACUCCGGCACAGGUGUUUGUGAGAAGUUCUUUUUUAGAUAUGGAAAAUCCCGAGUCCCUGCCACCAUCUUCAACUCCAUCUCCCAGUGAGUUGAAUUUUGGUCCCCUGGUCACUAGGAUCACUAAGGUGGCCUCUUCUUCAACUCCAUCUUCAACUCAUCUGAUGUGAAUGGUGGUACACCUCUCUGUUACAAAUCUACCCAUGAUGGAGGGCCCAAUUGAUAUACUGUCAAUUACAUUUGGGAUCCUGGUUAAAGGAAUGAGCAUCUUCACUAAAGAUGCCUAUAUAUAGAAGGGAAAAUUUCAGAAAUAGAAACUCUGUAGCCUUAAUUAUAACUUUUAUAGCAAUAGUUUCAUAAUUACGAAAAAUAGCAAAUUGUAUUUAUAUUUAAGUAAAAUGUUGCUAUAUAAAUAUAUAUACAAAUAUAUAUGUAUUACUCAUAAAUACAUAUACACAACUGAAAAAUACAUAUUCUUCUAUUACUAUGAAGUGAGUAAAAUAUUGCUACUUUUGAUAUAAGUUGUAAUUUUGAAAAAGUGUUGCUAUUUAUUGUAAUUAUAGUCUUAAGGAUGUUAGUUUCUGUAAUUUUUCCUAUAUAGAAGAUAGAACUAGCCCAUUAGGGUUAUUUUAAGAAUUAUGUUGUUUUUUCAUUAACUAUCUUAUAAUGGCACUUUGGAAUCUUCCUUUUCUAUUUUACUUUGGUUCUUUGUUACUAAAUUGAUGAACAAUCUGCUUGUAUCUUCCUUUUAUCAUCAAUACACAUCUUACUCUGUUACAUUGGUGCUUUCAUUGACUCCAUAUACUAUGGUGGACUACGGACUCACAACUCUCUCAUAUUCAAUGUCUGCUUCAAUGCAUUUUCGGCCAGCUCCAGUAGAGUUGGGUCGAUUCAGCAGCUACAAUGCAGAGGGUUGGGUUUCUACAUGUUAUGUUACGUCUACUCCUAUCUCUAUGGGGAGGCCCUAGAAUUGUUUCAUUGGAUGUUCGCAACAAUCAAUGAGCUGAUUAGAAGCAUUUUAAAGAAAAAGUGGUGUUGCGUUUUCCAAAGAAAUCUAUUAUAUACGUUGCCAAUGUGGUGUUCGAUUGAUACUUCUCAGGCUUGUUUUGCUAUUUGACAUCAUUAUUUGCUUCAGUUUAUUUAUCUGGUUUCUAAUAUGGGAAGGAUUCAUAAUGAAGAAGCAACACAAAAAUGUUUGCUCUUGGAGUAUUUAUAAAAAUUCCAGAGCCAAAGAAAAUUACACUACACCAAAAAAACAGAACUUUAGUUGUAAUUAGUUAACGACAAUAGCUUAAUU